Molecule: ribosomal RNA, 497 nt
Filed under: uncultured bacterium
Lineage: Bacteria
Description: partial 16S ribosomal RNA
Rfam family: Bacterial small subunit ribosomal RNA
Source: RNAcentral
GACGAACGCUGGCGGCGUGCCUAAUACAUGCAAGUCGAACGCUGAAGAGAGGAGCUUGCUCUUCUUGGAUGAGUUGCGAACGGGUGAGUAACGCGUAGGUAACCUGCCUUGUAGCGGGGGAUAACUAUUGGAAACGAUAGCUAAUACCGCAUAACAAUGGAUGACACAUGUCAUUUAUUUGAAAGGGGCAAUUGCUCCACUACAAGAUGGACCUGCGUUGUAUUAGCUAGUAGGUGAGGUAACGGCUCACCUAGGCGACGAUACAUAGCCGACCUGGGAGGGUGAUCGGCCACCCUGGGACUGAGACACGGCCCAGACUCCUACGGGAGGCAGCAGUAGGGAAUCUUCGGCAAUGGGGGCAACCCUGACCGAGCAACGCCGCGUGAGUGAAGAAGGUUUUCGGAUCGUAAAGCUCUGUUGUAAGUCAAGAACGAGUGUGAGAGUGGAAAGUUCACACUGUGACGGUAGCUUACCAGAAAGGGACGGCUAACUACGUG